This 253-nucleotide ribosomal RNA is filed under the name uncultured bacterium. RNAcentral's name for it is "partial 16S ribosomal RNA". It matches the Rfam family "Bacterial small subunit ribosomal RNA", at positions 524 to 776 of the family's 1533-position model. The record is from RNAcentral.
UACGUAGGUGGCAAGCGUUGUCCGGAAUUAUUGGGCGUAAAGGGCGCGUAGGCGGUCUGCUAAGUUGGAUGUGAAAACUCUGGGCUUAACCCAGAGCCUGCAUUCAAUACUGACAGGCUAGAGUUCUGGAGGGGAUAGCGGAAUUCCUGGUGUAGCGGUGAAAUGCGUAGAUAUCAGGAGGAACACCGGUGGCGAAGGCGGCUAUCUGGACAGAAACUGACGCUGAGGCGCGAAAGCUAGGGGAGCAAACAGG